RNAcentral lists this ribosomal RNA (674 nucleotides) under uncultured cyanobacterium. Its description in RNAcentral is "bacterial SSU rRNA". It matches the Rfam family "Bacterial small subunit ribosomal RNA", at positions 344 to 1032 of the family's 1533-position model. Lineage: Bacteria; Bacillati; Cyanobacteriota. The record is from RNAcentral.
GAAUUCGCCCUUGGGGAAUUUUCCGCAAUGGGCGAAAGCCUGACGGAGCAACGCCGCGUGAGGGAGGAAGGUCUUUGGAUUGUAAACCUCUUUUCUCAAGGAAGAAGUUCUGACGGUACUUGAGGAAUCAGCCUCGGCUAACUCCGUGCCAGCAGCCGCGGUAAUACGGGGGAGGCAAGCGUUAUCCGGAAUUAUUGGGCGUAAAGCGUCCGCAGGUGGUCAGCCAAGUCUGCCGUCAAAUCAGGUUGCUUAACGACCUAAAGGCGGUGGAAACUGGCAGACUAGAGAGCAGUAGGGGUAGCAGGAAUUCCCAGUGUAGCGGUGAAAUGCGUAGGGAUUGGGAAGAACAUCGGUGGCGAAAGCGUGCUACUGGGCUGUAUCUGACACUCAGGGACGAAAGCUAGGGGAGCGAAAGGGAUUAGAUACCCCUGUAGUCCUAGCCGUAAACGAUGGAUACUAGGCGUGGCUUGUAUCGACCCGAGCCGUGCCGAAGCUAACGCGUUAAGUAUCCCGCCUGGGGAGUACGCACGCAAGUGUGAAACUCAAAGGAAUUGACGGGGGCCCGCACAAGCGGUGGAGUAUGUGGUUUAAUUCGAUGCAACGCGAAGAACCUUACCAAGACUUGACAUGUCGCGAACCCUGGUGAAAGCUGGGGGUGCCUUCGGGAGCGCGAA